AGCAGUCGCCACGGGAAUACGUAGGUGGCAAGCGUUGUCCGGAAUUAUUGGGCGUAAGGGCUCGCAGGCGGUUUCUUAAGUCUGAUGUGAAAGCCCCCGGCUCAACCGGGGAGGGUCAUUGGAAACUGGGAAACUUGAGUGCAGAAGAGGAGAGUGGAAUUCCACGUGUAGCGGUGAAAUGCGUAGAGAUGUGGAGGAACACCAGUGGCGAAGGCGACUCUCUGGUCUGUAACUGACGCUGAGGAGCGAAAGCGUGGGGAGCGAACAGGAUUAGAUACCCGAGUAGUCCCUGUCUCUUAUACA
This 303-nucleotide ribosomal RNA is filed under the name uncultured bacterium. Its description in RNAcentral is "partial 16S ribosomal RNA". It matches the Rfam family "Bacterial small subunit ribosomal RNA", at positions 507 to 808 of the family's 1533-position model. The record is from RNAcentral.